RNAcentral lists this microRNA precursor (60 nucleotides) under Rattus norvegicus (Norway rat). RNAcentral's name for it is "Rno-Mir-181-P2b_pre stem-loop". It matches the Rfam family "mir-181 microRNA precursor family", at positions 12 to 73 of the family's 83-position model. Rfam says of the family: In this case the mature sequence comes from the 5' arm of the precursor. The record is from RNAcentral. Lineage: Eukaryota; Metazoa; Chordata; Mammalia; Rodentia; Muridae.
AACAUUCAUUGCUGUCGGUGGGUUUGAAUGUCAACCAACUCACUGGUCAAUGAAUGCAAA